Molecule: ribosomal RNA, 293 nt
Filed under: uncultured bacterium
Lineage: Bacteria
Description: partial 16S ribosomal RNA
Rfam family: Bacterial small subunit ribosomal RNA
Source: RNAcentral
GGAUUAGAUACCCUGGUAGUCCAUGCCGUAAACGAUGUCAACUAGCCGUUGGGGGAUUUGAUCCUUUAGUGGCGCAGCUAACGCGAUAAGUUGACCGCCUGGGGAGUACGGUCGCAAGACUAAAACUCAAAUGAAUUGACGGGGGCCCGCACAAGCGGUGGAGCAUGUGGUUUAAUUCGAUGCAACGCGAAGAACCUUACCUGGUCUUGACAUAGUGAGAAUCCUGCAGAGAUGCGGGAGUGCCUUCGGGAAUUCACAUACAGGUGCUGCAUGGCUGUCGUCAGCUCGUGUCG